GUGAAUCAUCAAAUCUUUGAACGCAAAUUGCGCUCCCUGGCAUUCCGGGAAGUAUGCCUGUUUGAGGGUCAGUAUUAACAAAAAAAUCGGUUUGGUUGCAAGUUGUGACGUUUCCGGAGUUUCGGAUAUCUUAACUCUUUUGGUUCAGGGGCUUAAAAUUGACUUUUCAUGCGCAUUUUUAGUCGUACUUAUAUUUUUUUUUUCGUAGUAUCUUCUUAACUCCAAA
This 226-nucleotide unclassified non-coding RNA is filed under the name Glomeraceae sp. RNAcentral's name for it is "partial contains 5.8S ribosomal RNA and internal transcribed spacer 2". The stretch from base 1 to 71 matches the Rfam family "5.8S ribosomal RNA", at positions 84 to 154 of the family's 154-position model. The record is from RNAcentral. Lineage: Eukaryota; Fungi; Glomeromycota; Glomeromycetes; Glomerales; Glomeraceae.